GAAUUACUCCCUCCGUCCGGAAAUACUUGUCGCAUAAAUGGAUAAAAAUGGAUGUAUCUAAAACUAAAAUACAUCUAGAUACAUCAAUUACACUAACAAGUAUUUCCGGACGGAGGGAGUACUAU
Molecule: non-coding RNA, 125 nt
Organism: Triticum aestivum (bread wheat)
Lineage: Eukaryota; Viridiplantae; Streptophyta; Magnoliopsida; Poales; Poaceae
Source: Rfam